Long non-coding RNA from Scylla paramamosain (green mud crab), 732 nucleotides. RefSeq lists it as uncharacterized. The transcript has 4 exons. Lineage: Eukaryota; Metazoa; Arthropoda; Malacostraca; Decapoda; Portunidae. The record is from RefSeq and is a predicted model, not a curated record.
CACGUCUUGACUCGCGUCUCGAUCGAGCUAACCGAUCUGACGACUGACUUCUGCCUCCACAUUUCUUCACUCACUCGCUUCUCGCAGUUUGAACCAUCAUCCUUCUUGCUGCCUGGAUUCGGUAACAUCGACACACUGAUGACUGCUCUCAGAGAAGUGCAUUAAAACACUGCAAAGCUAUGUAUGUCAACCUCGUGUUCACUUCACUGCCAGCUUUGCUCCAGAUCCUCUCACUGGGGAAUGCAAAGAGACACUGCUGUUUGUGUGGAUGUUAAUGAAUGCUUGCAGUUUCCAUGUAGUUUUGGGGAAGAAUGCUACAAUGCUGAGGGCUCUUACAUCUGCAAUGCUUCAAAAAGUGCAACUACUUCUAUCUUCACCACAAGCUCCACCAGCACAACCAGCUACUUGUCUCUCCGGUUUUGAAAGGAAUCCAAAAACCUUACAGUGUGAGGGCAAGUAAACCAGGCCAUGUGAAAACAAUGUUGUGAGGUACAAAGGAGAACUAAUUUUGAAAGAGACCACAUCAAGCAGAGAAGGGGUGUCACCAACUGGCUCACACAAAAACCCACAAGACUGCAGCAUUGUGGAUCCCUCUCCAGCUUUCCCUGCAGUUUGAGACAGUGCUCUGGUCUUCUCUCAGUGGUCCUUGCUUGGUCUUUCUGCAGUCCUCCUUUUCAUCCUCCCUUCCUGCAAGACAAUUCCUGGUUAUACAAAAUAAAAAAUAAAGCAAUA